Molecule: long non-coding RNA, 102 nt
Organism: Octopus sinensis (East Asian common octopus)
Lineage: Eukaryota; Metazoa; Mollusca; Cephalopoda; Octopoda; Octopodidae
Exons: 3
Source: RefSeq, a predicted model, not a curated record
CUCCGUCGAAGAACCACUCUCCACAAAGAACAAUGCCGCUACCCACAAUACAGACAGAUACAGGUUAGUGAGCACAUGGAAAGGUUAGUACAUAUUUAAAAC